RNAcentral lists this transfer RNA (74 nucleotides) under Chloroflexota bacterium. RNAcentral describes it as "Chloroflexi bacterium tRNA-Gln". It matches the Rfam family "tRNA". Rfam says of the family: Transfer RNA (tRNA) molecules are approximately 80 nucleotides in length. The record is from RNAcentral. Lineage: Bacteria; Bacillati; Chloroflexota.
UGCCCCGUGGUGCAGCGGUAGCACAGCGGACUUUGAAUCCGCUGACCUAGGUUCGAGUCCUAGCGGGGCAGCCA